Long non-coding RNA from Etheostoma spectabile (orangethroat darter), 91 nucleotides. RefSeq lists it as uncharacterized. The transcript is spliced from 3 exons. NCBI's taxonomy places the organism in Eukaryota, Metazoa, Chordata, Actinopteri, Perciformes, Percidae. The record is from RefSeq and is a predicted model, not a curated record.
AAGUUAGAAAUGAUUGUCUUAAAUUCAACAAGCAAUUAGUUGUAUAUUAAAAGAAUACUGAACGCAACAGAAAGGCAGAACUCAGUACACU